This 486-nucleotide ribosomal RNA is filed under the name uncultured bacterium. RNAcentral describes it as "partial 16S ribosomal RNA". It matches the Rfam family "Bacterial small subunit ribosomal RNA", at positions 28 to 523 of the family's 1533-position model. The record is from RNAcentral.
GACGAACGCUGGCGGCGUGCUUAACACAUGCAAGUCGAACGAUGAAGCCGCUUCGGUGGUGGAUUAGUGGCGAACGGGUGAGUAACACGUGGGCAAUCUGCCCUGUACUUCGGGAUAAGCCUUGGAAACGGGGUCUAAUACCGGAUGGGACUGCCGGCCGCAUGGUCUGGUGGUGGAAAGCUCCGGCGGUACAGGAUGAGCUCGCGGCCUAUCAGCUUGUUGGUGGGGUGAUGGCCUACCAAGGCGACGACGGGUAGCCGGCCUGAGAGGGCGACCGGCCACACUGGGACUGAGACACGGCCCAGACUCCUACGGGAGGCAGCAGUGGGGAAUAUUGCACAAUGGGCGCAAGCCUGAUGCAGCGACGCCGCGUGAGGGAUGACGGCCUUCGGGUUGUAAACCUCUUUCAGCAGGGAAGAAGCCUUAAAAGAGUGACGGUACCUGCAGAAGAAGCACCGGCUAACUACGUGCCAGCAGCCGCCGUAA